This 87-nucleotide transfer RNA is filed under the name Roseiarcus fermentans. It matches the Rfam family "tRNA". Rfam says of the family: Transfer RNA (tRNA) molecules are approximately 80 nucleotides in length. Their secondary structure includes four short double-helical elements and three loops (D, anti-codon, and T loops). Lineage: Bacteria; Pseudomonadati; Pseudomonadota; Alphaproteobacteria; Hyphomicrobiales; Roseiarcaceae. The record is from Rfam by way of RNAcentral.
GGAGAGGUGGCAGAGUGGUCGAUCGCGCCGCACUCGAAAUGCGGAGUACGUGCAAGCGUACCGGGGGUUCGAAUCCCUCCCUCUCCG